AAAUUAUAAAUCUACGGUUACAUGCCAACAUCACGUACAGCAUUGAUACUCAACCUUAAUGAGCAAGAAACACUAGCCGUUUUAUACUGCGAAGUUCUUCUUCUGAUCUUCUCGGCGAAGCGCGCUAGCUCGCUCGCUGCAACAAUGGUUCUCGAGGCGACUAUGAUAUGUAUCGAUAAUUCCGAAUGGAUGCGAAAUGGCGAUUACUCUCCUUGUCGAUUUCAAGCUCAAGCAGA
Molecule: unclassified non-coding RNA, 236 nt
Filed under: Hevea brasiliensis (rubber tree)
Lineage: Eukaryota; Viridiplantae; Streptophyta; Magnoliopsida; Malpighiales; Euphorbiaceae
Source: RNAcentral